AUGGGUACCUGCAUGGCCCCACAGUAUGCCAACAUUUUUAUGGCUAUCUUAGAACAACACUUCCUCAGCUCUCGUCCCCUAACGCCCCUACUCUACUUGUGCUACAUUGAUGACAUCUUCAUCAUCUGGACCCAGGGGAAAGAGGCCCUUGAGGAAUUCCACCAGGAUUUCAACAAUUUCCACCCCACCAUCAACCUCAGCCUGGACCAGUCCACACAAGAGAUCCACUUCCUGGACACUACAGUGCAAAUAAGCAAUGGUCACAUAAACACCACCCUAUACUGGAAACCUACUGACUGCUAUACUUACCUACAUGCCUCCAGCUUUCAUCCAGACUACAUCACACGAUCCAUUGUCUACAGCCAAGCUCUAAGAUACAACGGCAUUUGCUCCAAUCCCUCAGACAGAGACAAACACCUACAGGAUCUCUAUCAAGUGUUCUUAAAACUACAAUACCCACCUGGUGAAGUGAAGAAACAGAUUGACACAGUCAGAAGGGUACCCAGAAGUCACCUACUACAGGACAGGCCCAACAAAGAAAGUAACAGAACGCCACUAGCCGUCACCUUCAGCCCCCAACUAAAACCUCUCCAGCGCAUCAUCAAGGAUCGACAACCUCUCCUGAAGGACGAUCCCUCACUCUCACAGACCUUGGGAGACAGGCCAGUCCUCGCUUAUAGACAGCCCCCCAACCUGAAGCAAAUACUCACCAGCAACUAUACACCACACAACAAAAACACUAACCCAGGAACCUAUCCCUGGAACAAAUCCCGUUGCCAACUCUGUCCACAUAUCUAUUCAAGGGACACCAUCAUAGGACCUAACCACAUCAGCCACCCCAUCAGGGGCUCGUUUACCUGCACAUCUACCAAUGUGAUAUAUGCCAUCAUGUGCCAGCAAUGCCCCUCUGCCAUGUACAUUGGCCACACCAGACAGUCUCUACACAAAAGAAUAAAUGGACACAAAUCAGACGUCAAGAAUUCUAACAUUCAAAAACCAGUUGGAGAACACUUCAACCUCCCUGGUCACUCAAUAACAGACUUAAAAGUGGCAAUUCUUCAACAACAAAACUUCAAAAACAGACUCCAACGAGAAACUGCAGAACUGGAAUUAAUUUGCAAACUGGACACCAUCAAAUUAGGCCUGAAUAAAGACUGGGAGUGGAUGGGUCACUACAAAAACUAA
This 1185-nucleotide long non-coding RNA is filed under the name Chrysemys picta bellii (western painted turtle). Its description in RNAcentral is "lncRNA (ENSCPBG00000024404.1)". The record is from RNAcentral. Lineage: Eukaryota; Metazoa; Chordata; Testudines; Emydidae.